RNAcentral lists this ribosomal RNA (468 nucleotides) under uncultured bacterium. Its description in RNAcentral is "partial 16S ribosomal RNA". It matches the Rfam family "Bacterial small subunit ribosomal RNA", at positions 28 to 507 of the family's 1533-position model. The record is from RNAcentral.
GAUGAACGCUGGCGGCGUGCUUAACACAUGCAAGUCGAACGGAAAGGCCGAAGCUUGCUUCGGUACUCGAGUGGCGAACGGGUGAGUAACACGUGGGUGAUCUGCCCUGUACUUCGGGAUAAGCUUGGGAAACUGGGUCUAAUACCGGAUAUGACGAUCUCUUGGAUGGGGUUGUGGAAAGCUUUUGCGGUAUGGGAUGAGCUCGCGGCCUAUCAGCUUGUUGGUGGGGUAAUGGCCUACCAAGGCGUCGACGGGUAGCCGGCCUGAGAGGGUGUACGGCCACAUUGGGACUGAGAUACGGCCCAGACUCCUACGGGAGGCAGCAGUGGGGAAUAUUGCACAAUGGGAGAAAGCCUGAUGCAGCGACGCCGCGUGGGGGAUGACGGCCUUCGGGUUGUAAACUCCUUUCGCAAUCGACGAAGCCUUUUGGUGACGGUAGGUUGAGAAGAAGCACCGGCUAACUACGUG